RNAcentral lists this ribosomal RNA (468 nucleotides) under uncultured bacterium. RNAcentral's name for it is "partial 16S ribosomal RNA". It matches the Rfam family "Bacterial small subunit ribosomal RNA", at positions 28 to 507 of the family's 1533-position model. The record is from RNAcentral.
GACGAACGCUGGCGGCGUGCUUAACACAUGCAAGUCGAACGGAAAGGCGCGGCGUUUGCGGGGUUCACGAGAGGCGAACGGGUGUGUAACACGUGAGUAACACGUCCUUGACAUUGGGAGAACUCCAGGAAAAAGGGGCGCAUACCGGAUAGGAGCUCUUGAUGCGUGGGGGGGGUUGGAGAGAGACGGCGGUGGGGGCUGGAUUAGAGGCUUAUGAGCUGGUUGGUGAGGUAGGGGCUUCCAAGGGCUAUGAAGGGUAGCCGGCCUGGGAGGGUGACCGGCGACCUUGGGCCUGCGAUACGCCCCAGACUCCUACGGGCCGCAGCAGUCGGGAACAUUGCGCAGUAGGCGGAAGUGUGAUGCAGCGGCGCCGCGUGCGUGAUGACGGGCUUCGGGUUGUAAACCGCUUUGGCCUGUGCCGAAGCGUUAGUGACGGUACUUGGUCAGGAAGCACCGGCUAACUACGUG